Molecule: transfer RNA, 36 nt
Filed under: Favonigobius lateralis (southern longfin goby)
Lineage: Eukaryota; Metazoa; Chordata; Actinopteri; Gobiiformes; Gobiidae
Description: partial tRNA-Pro
Source: RNAcentral
ACUCUCACCCCUAGCUCCCAAAGCUAGGAUUCUAAA